UCCGAGGUAGCUCAGCGGUAGAGCAGACGACUGUUAAUCGUCUGGUCCCUGGUUCGAUCCCAGGUCUCGGAGC
Molecule: transfer RNA, 73 nt
Filed under: compost metagenome
Description: tRNA-Asn
Rfam family: tRNA
About the family: Transfer RNA (tRNA) molecules are approximately 80 nucleotides in length. Their secondary structure includes four short double-helical elements and three loops (D, anti-codon, and T loops).
Source: RNAcentral